AAGUCGUAACAAGGUAACCGUAGGUGAACCUGCGGUUGGAUCAUUAAAAAAUCAAAAAAGGGUUAGUUGUCGUAAGACACUAACUUCUUUUUAAACAACCUGUUGAACUGUUUAUUGUCUCUGGUGGGUUAAAAAUCUUUGUAAAUUUAUUUUUACUUAAGAUGCCUUAGUUUAAAAGUAACGUAAAAAUUAUUUUUAGCUAAUAAAGGGUACCCACUGUUAAAUUAAAACAAACGUCUUUUAAACUAGCCUAAAUUUAUUAACACAAGUUGAAUUUAAAAACAACUUUUGGCAACGGAUCUCUAGGCUCUU
This 312-nucleotide unclassified non-coding RNA is filed under the name fungal sp. Its description in RNAcentral is "partial internal transcribed spacer region". The stretch from base 1 to 46 matches the Rfam family "Eukaryotic small subunit ribosomal RNA", at positions 1786 to 1831 of the family's 1831-position model. Lineage: Eukaryota; Fungi. The record is from RNAcentral.